RNAcentral lists this ribosomal RNA (199 nucleotides) under uncultured bacterium. RNAcentral describes it as "partial 16S ribosomal RNA". It matches the Rfam family "Bacterial small subunit ribosomal RNA", at positions 1294 to 1500 of the family's 1533-position model. The record is from RNAcentral.
CGGAUUGGAGUCUGCAACCCGACUCCAUGAAGCUGGAUUCGCUAGUAAUCGCGCAUCAGCCAUGGCGCGGUGAAUACGUUCCCGGGCCUUGUACACACCGCCCGUCAAGCCAUGAAAGCCGGGGGUACCUGAAGUACGUAACCGCAAGGAUCGUCCUAGGGUAAAACUGGUAAUUGGGGCUAAGUCGUAACAAGGUAGC